UACAGAGGUCCCAAGCGUUGUUCGGAGUUACUGGGCGUAAAGGGUGUGUAGGCGGUUGUUUAAGUUUGGUGUGAAAUCUCCCGGCUCAACUGGGAGGGUGCGCCGAAUACUGAAUGACUUCGAGUGCGGGAGAGGGAUGCGGAAUUCCAGGUGUAGCGGUGAAAUGCGUAGAUAUCUGGAGGAACACCGGUGGCGAAGGCGGCAUCCUGGACCGGUAUUGACGCUGAGGCGGCGAAAAGCCAGGGGAGCAAAGCGGGG
This 258-nucleotide ribosomal RNA is filed under the name uncultured bacterium. RNAcentral's name for it is "partial 16S ribosomal RNA". It matches the Rfam family "Bacterial small subunit ribosomal RNA", at positions 524 to 778 of the family's 1533-position model. The record is from RNAcentral.